Molecule: long non-coding RNA, 2724 nt
Filed under: Phoenix dactylifera (date palm)
Lineage: Eukaryota; Viridiplantae; Streptophyta; Magnoliopsida; Arecales; Arecaceae
Description: long non-coding RNA (PDAC_LNC006433)
Source: RNAcentral
UGCAUAGAAACUCGAUAAGGCUUUAAGUUUCGAUUCAGGUUCGGAUCUAUUAAAAUGCGUAAGCUCCAAACUUGCAUCUAUAUUUCUAUAUUUAUAUAUAAUAUAGCCAUGUCUUGUAGCCAAUCCUCCUUAUAUUUCUAUAUUUAUAUAUAAUAUGUGAUGGGAGGCAAAAUGGAUCAUCCUAUUUUCGGCAUGAAGUCACCCGAUUCUGGCCAAGCCGAGCUCAGAAGGCUGAGCCGACCUCAGAAGGCCGACCUCAUAAGGCCGACCCCAGAAGACCGAGCCGACCUCAUAAGGCCGAUCCUAGAAGACCGAGCCGACCUCAUAAGGCUGACCUCAGAAGACCAAGUCGACUUCGUAAGGCUGACCUCAGAAGGCCGAGCCAACCUCAAAAGGCCGAGCCGACCCUAGAAGGCCGACCUCAGAAGGCCGAUCUCGUCGUCCAUAUGCUGCGGCCAUGCCCUGCAGCAGCCUCACCGCACCAUGCUUGUUUGCUGGCCAUGCCACGACAUAUCAAUCAGGAACCAUGCCUUGCUGCCCCAGCCAUGCCCUGCCACAUCUACCAAUGUCUUACCAUUCACAGGAACGGUCUACGACAUGCGCCUCAAGGAAGCUCUAGCUGCGCGCCAUCUAGCUUAAAGACAUCUUCUUCCAUGAUAAGGACGGGUCAUACCUUCGCCACCUGGGCACCUCUACGGAAACUAUAAAUAACCCCAUCAGGUAACGCCUAAAGAAUUUUUGGACCAAUGGAGAUUCACUCUAACUUCAUCAUCGGAGGGCCCUCAUCGGAACCUCACCAGUGAGGCUUUGUGCAGGUCCAGCAGUGCGAAGAAAACGGCUUCUUUCUCCGCUCUAGCCAGCAGCUCCCAUAACUCUCCCUGCGUGGUCACCCUCGGGCCAAAUUUGAACCACAAUAUUUGGUGCUAGAGGAAGGGCCUGAGUCGUGAUCAUAAGGUUAAGGGGUCACAGAGCUUCAAAUGCAUCGAGGAGCCGGGCACCAACAUCUAACAACUCGCUCCAAAGUCCACGCCCUGCAGAACCGGCGGACUGAAUUUCUCAGGUCCAGCCGGAGUAGUUCAGCCUACUUGUCCAACAAGUCCAAGCGCUCACUGCGGCCGUUCAAAGCCUGCAGCAAGUAGGAGACCAGCCUGUACUCCCUCCUCAUGAGCAUGAGUCCUUAGGACACUGCUUGCGAUGCCAUUUUCCUGUAGAGCGUCACCACCAUCGAAGCUCCUACCGAGUUUGGUCCCCAAGCCAGGAGGGCCCUUUUGGUAGUGAGACUAGAUCCCGCACUGAAGGAACAAAAUCGUGCGGGGGCGUAGUACCUAUGCGGAUCCCCCAUAACGGACAAUACCUCAUGACGGGAGGCCGACCUUCGUUUUUCGUGACCUCAACAGUUGGUGCUUUCGUUGAGAGCCGACCUUAGAAGGCCGAGCUUAGAAGAUCGAGCCGACAUCAGAAGGCCGAGCUUAGAAGGAUCAGAAGGCCUGGCGGAAGAAGAUGCUCCUGGAUGGCCAUGAAUCCUGCAUGAUGAUGGCUCCUCGACCUCGGGGGGCAGGGCCUCAUACUCCUGGAUGCACAAACGACGACGCGCCCUGGCCCGAGCUCGGAGCGCUGCCAACCGUGAGCUGAAGGGGCUCCCUCGACUGCAGAACCAUUCGACGCCAAUUCGACUCCAUUUCAUGCCAAUUCGACUCCAUUUCGACGCCAAUUCAACGCCAUUUCGACGACGUUCGACGCCAUUUCAACGACGUUCGACGCCAUUUCGACGACGUUCGACGACAAUUCGAUGCUAUUUUGACACCUUCUGUGACGACGCGCCUCGAUCUGAGUGGGGGUGCCCUGCUGAGCAACCACGAGCCAAAGAAGGCCGCCGAAGUCGACCUCAGAGUAGAGUCGUUUAGCUCGGCUCGGAAAGCUCGGCCUAAAGACGUUAGUUUCAACGACACGAGAGGUACGCCCUACUCGACACAUAUAUCUUCACAAAUAUUUGGCUGAAUUACAGGACAAUCAACAACUCGGCUACUUCCUUCGCUCGAGCCAACAAACGACUCGAACUCGAAAGUCGGAGGGCAAUGAUGGGAGGCAAAAUGGAUCGUUCUAUUUUCGGCAUGAAGUCACCCAAUUCUAGUCAAGCCGAGCCCAGAAGGCCGACCUCAGAAGGCCGACUCUAGAAGACUGAGCCAACCUCAUAAGGCCGAGCCGACCUCAGAAGGCCGACCCCAGAAGGCCGUGCCGAUCUCAGAAGGCCGACCUCAGAAAGCCGAUCUUGUCGUCCACAUGCUGCGGCCAUGCCCUGCAACAGCCUCACCGCACCAUGCUUUGCUUGCUGGCCACGCCACGACAUAUCAAUCAGGGACUAUGCCCUGCUGCCCCAGCCAUGCCCUGCCACAUCUACCAACACCUUACCGUUCACAAGAACGGCCUAAGCCGUGCGCCUCAAGCAAGCUCUAGUUGCGCGCCAUCUGACUAAAAGCCAUCUCCUCCUAUGAUGAGGACGGGUCAUACCUUCGCUACCUGGGCACCUCUACGGAAACUAUAAAUAGCCCCAUCAGAUAACACCUAAAGGACUUUUGGACCAACGGAGAUCCACUCUAACUUCAUCAUCGGAGGGCUCUCACCAAAACCCCACCAGUGAGGCUUUGUGCAAGUCCGUCGGUGCGCAGGAAGCGGCUUCUUCCUCCGCUCCAGCCAGCAGCUCCCUUGACUCCCCCAGCGUGGUCA